CCCUUAGAUGUCCUGGGCUGCACGCGUGCUACAAUGAUACGUGCAACGAGUUAAUCCUGCUCUGAAAGGAGUGGGUAAUCUUAUGAAUGCGUAUCGUGCUUGGGGUUGACCAUUGUAAUUAUUGGUCAUGAACGAGGAAUUCCUAGUAAGCACAAGUCAUCAGCUUGUGCUGAUUACGUCCCUGCCCUUUGUACACACCGCCCGUCGCUCCUACCGAUUGAGUGUUCCGGUGAAUUAUUCGGACUGCAACAGUUAUCUGUCGCGGAAAGUCUUGUGAACCUUAACACUUAGAGGAAGGAAAAGUCGUAACA
RNAcentral lists this ribosomal RNA (311 nucleotides) under uncultured eukaryote. Its description in RNAcentral is "partial 18S ribosomal RNA". It matches the Rfam family "Eukaryotic small subunit ribosomal RNA", at positions 1470 to 1796 of the family's 1831-position model. The record is from RNAcentral.